GGUUCCAUGGUGUAGUGGUUAGCACGUCUGCUUUACACGCAGAAGGUCUUGGGUUCAAGCCCCAGCAGACCCA
This 73-nucleotide transfer RNA is filed under the name Pteropus alecto (black flying fox). It matches the Rfam family "tRNA". Rfam says of the family: Transfer RNA (tRNA) molecules are approximately 80 nucleotides in length. Their secondary structure includes four short double-helical elements and three loops (D, anti-codon, and T loops). Lineage: Eukaryota; Metazoa; Chordata; Mammalia; Chiroptera; Pteropodidae. The record is from Rfam by way of RNAcentral.